CAAAAACAUCUUUUCUUGUUAGUUUCUGAAGUAUGGCCUGCCCGCUGACGUAUUUUGAGUUGAAGGGCCGCGGUAUUUUGACCGUGCAAAGGUAGCAUAGUCAUUAGUUCUUUAAUUGUGAUCUGGUAUGAAUGGCUUGACGAGACAUAGGCUGUCUUAGUGUGAAUUUAUUGUUGAAUUUGGAGUUUAAGUUAAAAUUCUUAGAUGUUUUUAUGGGACGAGAAGACCCUAUAGAGUUUUACAUUUGAUUGUGCAUUUCUUUUUGUUUGUUUUAGGUUUUUGCGUGUCUUUUGUUUUGUUGGGGUGAUGGGAGGAAUUUAUUUAACUCCUCUUUUUAUGUGAUAUAUUGAUUUAUAUUUGUUUUGAUCCAUUUAUUUUGAUUGUAAGACUAAAUUACCUUAGGGAUAACAGCGUUAUCCUCCCUGAGAGUUCUUAUUGGCGGGGGGGUUUGCGACCUCGAUGUUGGAUUAAGGUUUAUUUUUGGUGUAGGAGCUGAAUUGAUUAGGUCUGUUCGACCUUUAAAAUCUUACGUGAUCU
RNAcentral lists this ribosomal RNA (537 nucleotides) under Odontotermes sp. ENT-MG382. RNAcentral's name for it is "partial small subunit ribosomal RNA". It matches the Rfam family "Bacterial large subunit ribosomal RNA", at positions 1808 to 2606 of the family's 2925-position model. Lineage: Eukaryota; Metazoa; Arthropoda; Insecta; Blattodea; Termitidae. The record is from RNAcentral.